AUUGAACGCUGGCGGCAGGCCUAACACAUGCAAGUCGAGCGGUUGCAGGGAGCUUGCUCCUGGAUUCCGCGGCGGACGGGUACGUAAUGCCUAGGAAUCUGCCUGGUAGUGGGGGAUAACGUCCGCAAACGGGCGCUAAUACCGCAUCCGUCCUGAGGGAGAAAGUGGGGGAUCUUCGGACCUCACGCUAUCAGCUGAGCCUAGGUCGGAUUAGCUAGUUGGUGGGGUAAAGGCCUACCAAGGCGACGAUCCGUAACUGGUCUGAGAGGAUGAUCAGUCACACUGGAACUGAGACACGGUCCAGACUCCUACGGGAGGCAGCAGUGGGGAAUAUUGGACAAUGGGCGAAAGCCUGAUCCAGCCAUGCCGCGUGUGUGAAGAAGGUCUUCGGAUUGUAAAGCACUUUAAGUUGGGAGGAAGGGCAGUAAGUUAAUACCUUGCUGUUUUGACGUUACCAACAGAAUAAGCACCGGCUAACUUCGUG
RNAcentral lists this ribosomal RNA (484 nucleotides) under uncultured bacterium. RNAcentral's name for it is "partial 16S ribosomal RNA". It matches the Rfam family "Bacterial small subunit ribosomal RNA", at positions 30 to 507 of the family's 1533-position model. The record is from RNAcentral.